ACUUUCGUUCCCGGGAAAGCAGCAGCAGGAGGAGGGGGAGGAAGCCCAUUGUGGCCAGUGGUGCUGAAAGCUCGGCGGCACUAGUGGGGCUGCUGCUAGCGGCGGUGGCGGCGUCCCACUGGCAUAUGCCUUAUUCAUGGCCCAAAGAAAAGACAGAGGCUUGCUCUGCUCUUCUUUUGAAGCUGCUGCUGCUGCUGCUGCUGCUGCUGCUGCUGCUGCUGCUACCGCUGGUGAUUUUCGCCCAGCCCUGCGAGCUGCUAUUCCCACCACGGCAGACAGCUACUCCAGGCUAGACUCUUUACCCAGUGUCGCUGCAAGCUCGCCACAGACUAAUUUCCGAUAGAAAAGAGCCGAGAAACAGCCGAGUAGCCGUAAGCCCGCACGGGAGAGAGAGAGAGAGAUACCAGCCGCGCGACUACACACACACGCUGGAGCUCACGCACGCUCACACCUAAGCCGCUCGAGUCAGAAGAUAAGCCCGCCGCCGGGAGGGGGAAAACCUCGCGCCAGGCCGCGGCAGCAGAUACUAUACUGCUACUUGUAUGUGUGAGGCGUUGAGUGUGUGUAAAAAGAAUAUUCACCUAUGUAACCUAAAGAAUUAUUUAUUUGUAAUGUAUGACAUGAGAGGUGGUAUGAUACAGUGUGAAAACCCAACGAUCGCACGAGAAAACAUAUGUAAAUCGCCAAAUGUAACGGCACUAGACCGAUAACUAUGUAUUGCGUUUGUGUGAGUACUCUAGGGAGGUGUACCGUCGCGCCUCGACCAGAGGAUUCGCCCACUUGGUUUUUCGUCGCAGCCCAGAGAACAUCCCUACGGUUGACCAGACAUUUGUUUAUUGAGAGUAGAGUAAUAUAAGAGUGCGUUAUCCUGUGAUUGUUAUAAGAACGAGGGAGAGGUACGAGAGAGAACUUCAGCCGGAAGGUAGUGUUUAACGGUAAUAUUUAUGAUAUAUAUUGAGUGUGAGAGGAAUAAGCCGGACGUUGCGAAAGUCGGAACGUUACUGCCUCGUGGCAACAUUUUUGACGAGCUGAGAUUUGUAGUACCGGAUAACUGUGCGAGCGUUGUGUGCGAAAACGGAAAUUGUAGCUAGUAGAAAAUAUCACCUUAGAGCCUCGCGUUUAUUAUAUUACCGCCGGUUUUUUUUUGUAAGUAAAGAUUUGUGAAGUGAUAAUCAGUC
Molecule: long non-coding RNA, 1178 nt
Organism: Nasonia vitripennis (jewel wasp)
Lineage: Eukaryota; Metazoa; Arthropoda; Insecta; Hymenoptera; Pteromalidae
Exons: 2
Source: RefSeq, a predicted model, not a curated record